GACGAACGCUGGCGGCGUGCCUAAUACAUGCAAGUCGAACGCAGUGGGGACGGGUGAGUAACACGUGGGUAACCUGCCAUAAGAGUGGAUAAAACUUGGAAACAGGUGCUAAACAGAUACUGCUGGAUGGACCCGCGGUGCAUUAGAUAGUUGGUGAGGUAACGGCUCACCAAGGCAACGAUGCAUAGCUGACCUGCGAGGGUGAUCGGCCACACUGGGACUGAGACACGGCCCAGACUCCUACGGGAGGCAGCAGUAGGGAAUCUUCGGCAAUGGACGAAAGUCUGACCGAGCAACGCCGCGUUAGUGAAGAAGGUUUUCGGAUCGUAAAACUCUGUUGUUAGAGAAGCGGUAUCUAACCAGAAAGCCACGGCUAACUACGUGCCAGCAGCCGCGGUAAUUC
Molecule: ribosomal RNA, 403 nt
Filed under: uncultured bacterium
Lineage: Bacteria
Description: partial 16S ribosomal RNA
Rfam family: Bacterial small subunit ribosomal RNA
Source: RNAcentral